AGAUGGGUUCUAUUCCCAAACCGUGUCUACAUACCUUUGUUGCUUUGGCAGGCCGCCUCCGGGCGUCGGCUCCGGCUGACUUGUGCCUGCCAGAGGACCCAAACUCUGUGUUUAGUGAUGUCUGAGUACUAUAUAAUAGUUAAAACUUUCAACAACGGAUCUCUUGGUUCUGGCAUCGAUGAAGAACGCAGCGAAAUGCGAUAAGUAAUGUGAAUUGCAGAAUUCAGUGAAUCAUCGAAUCUUUGAACGCACAUUGCGCCCCUUGGUAUUCCGAGGGGCAUGCCUGUUCGAGCGUCAUUAUGACCACUCAAGCCUAGCUUGGUAUUGGGGUGCGCGUGCUCGCGGCCCUUAAAAUCAGUGGCGGUGCCGUCUGGCUCUAAGCGUAGUAAUUUCUCUCGCUACAGGGUCCGGGCGGUUGCUUGCCAAAACCCCUUAUUUUCUUAGGUUGACCUCGGAUCAGGUAGGGAUACCCGCUGAACUUAAGCAUAUCAAUAA
RNAcentral lists this ribosomal RNA (495 nucleotides) under Hyaloscypha sp. GMU_LL_03_G4. RNAcentral's name for it is "eukaryotic LSU rRNA". The stretch from base 144 to 297 matches the Rfam family "5.8S ribosomal RNA". The record is from RNAcentral. Lineage: Eukaryota; Fungi; Ascomycota; Leotiomycetes; Helotiales; Hyaloscyphaceae.